UCCCUGGAGGACUAGUGGUUAGGCCUCAGCGCUCUCACCACCGCACCACCGGUUCGAUUCUAGGCCAGGGAA
Non-coding RNA from Pangasianodon gigas (Mekong giant catfish), 72 nucleotides. NCBI's taxonomy places the organism in Eukaryota, Metazoa, Chordata, Actinopteri, Siluriformes, Pangasiidae. The record is from the annotation of a GenBank genome assembly.